Molecule: ribosomal RNA, 497 nt
Filed under: uncultured bacterium
Lineage: Bacteria
Description: partial 16S ribosomal RNA
Rfam family: Bacterial small subunit ribosomal RNA
Source: RNAcentral
GAUGAACGCUGGCGGCGUGCCUAAUACAUGCAAGUCGAGCGAACGGACGAGAAGCUUGCUUCUCUGAUGUUAGCGGCGGACGGGUGAGUAACAUGUGGAUAACCUACCUAUAAGACUGGGAUAAUUUCGGGAAACCGGAGCUAAGACCGGAUAAUAUUUUGAACCGCAUGGUUCAAAAGUGAAAGACGGUCUUGCUGUCACUUAUAGAUGGAUCCGCGCUGCAUUAGCUAGUUGGUAAGGUAACGGCUUACCAAGGCAACGAUGCAUAGCCGACCUGAGAGGGUGAUCGGCCACACUGGAACUGAGACACGGUCCAGACUCCUACGCGAGGCAGCAGUAGGGAAUCUUCCGCAAUGGGCGAAAGCCUGACGGAGCAACGCCGCGUGAGUGAUGAAGGUCUUCGGAUCGUAAAACUCUGUUAUUAGGGAAGAACAUAUGUGUAAGUAACUGUGCACAUCUUGACGGUACCUAAUCAAAAAGCCACGGCUAACUACGUG